GGGCGUAUGACGGAAUGGAAUACGUGCUUGUCUUAGGAACAAGUUUUUGUAAGUUCGAAUCUUACUACGCCCA
Molecule: transfer RNA, 73 nt
Filed under: Caudoviricetes sp.
Lineage: Duplodnaviria; Heunggongvirae; Uroviricota; Caudoviricetes
Description: tRNA-Leu
Rfam family: tRNA
About the family: Transfer RNA (tRNA) molecules are approximately 80 nucleotides in length. Their secondary structure includes four short double-helical elements and three loops (D, anti-codon, and T loops).
Source: RNAcentral